This 404-nucleotide ribosomal RNA is filed under the name Actinomycetes bacterium. RNAcentral describes it as "Actinobacteria bacterium partial 16S ribosomal RNA". It matches the Rfam family "Bacterial small subunit ribosomal RNA", at positions 355 to 776 of the family's 1533-position model. The record is from RNAcentral. Lineage: Bacteria; Bacillati; Actinomycetota; Actinomycetes.
UGGGGAAUAUUGGACAAUGGGCGCAAGCCUGAUCCAGCCAUGCCGCGUGAGUGAUGAAGGCCCUAGGGUUGUAAAGCUCUUUCACCGGUGAAGAUAAUGACGGUAACCGGAGAAGAAGCCCCGGCUAACUUCGUGCCAGCAGCCGCGGUAAUACGAAGGGGGCUAGCGUUGUUCGGAUUUACUGGGCGUAAAGCGCACGUAGGCGGACUAUUAAGUCAGGGGUGAAAUCCCGGGGCUCAACCCCGGAACUGCCUUUGAUACUGGUAGUCUUGAGUUCGAGAGAGGUGGGUGGAAUUCCGAGUGUAGAGGUGAAAUUCGUAGAUAUUCGGAGGAACACCAGUGGCGAAGGCAGCUCACUGGCUCGAUACUGACGCUGAGGUGCGAAAGCGUGGGGAGCAAACAGG